Molecule: microRNA precursor, 107 nt
Filed under: Leersia perrieri
Lineage: Eukaryota; Viridiplantae; Streptophyta; Magnoliopsida; Poales; Poaceae
Description: pre miRNA mir-166
Rfam family: mir-166 microRNA precursor family
About the family: This family represents the plant microRNA (miRNA) precursor mir-166. Animal miRNAs are transcribed as ~70nt precursors and subsequently processed by the Dicer enzyme to give a ~22nt product.
Source: Rfam by way of RNAcentral
CUUGUGGGGAAUGUUGGCUGGCUCGAGGCAUCCACGCUUCCAGCUCCUCGCCGUCGUCGGCGGCUCAGGCAUGUGGAGGCGUCGGACCAGGCUUCAUUCCUCGCAAG